UUUCUAUUCGUUUACC
This 16-nucleotide small RNA is filed under the name Arabidopsis thaliana (thale cress). RNAcentral describes it as "ATSL186620". The record is from RNAcentral. Lineage: Eukaryota; Viridiplantae; Streptophyta; Magnoliopsida; Brassicales; Brassicaceae.